CUUUUAUAUAAACUUAUAUAACUAGUCGUAAACCUUUUUCUAAAUGGCACCCCCCGCCGUUGAUGAAAACAUUGAAAUCUGGCUCAAAAUAUUUACGAAGCCCUGCCCAAAUUGUAGAAGCCCUAUUGAAAAGGCUGAUGGUUGUGACAGAGUUCGUUGCAUUUGUGGAACUUUAUUUUGCUACACUUGCGGCGUAAUUUUAGCUGAUAAAGAGGAUCAUAACCAUAAAUGAUUGUUAAAUGG
Zophobas morio is the source of this 243-nucleotide long non-coding RNA. RefSeq lists it as uncharacterized. The record is from RefSeq and is a predicted model, not a curated record. Lineage: Eukaryota; Metazoa; Arthropoda; Insecta; Coleoptera; Tenebrionidae. The transcript has 3 exons.